RNAcentral lists this ribosomal RNA (421 nucleotides) under uncultured bacterium. Its description in RNAcentral is "partial 16S ribosomal RNA". It matches the Rfam family "Bacterial small subunit ribosomal RNA", at positions 355 to 793 of the family's 1533-position model. The record is from RNAcentral.
UGGGGAAUAUUGCACAAUGGGCGAAAGCCUGAUGCAGCAACGCCGCGUGAGUGAUGAAGGUCUUCGGAUUGUAAAGCUCUGUCUUUUGGGACGAUAAUGACGGUACCAAAGGAGGAAGCCACGGCUAACUACGUGCCAGCAGCCGCGGUAAUACGUAGGUGGCGAGCGUUGUCCGGAUUUACUGGGCGUAAAGGGUGCGUAGGCGGAUGUUUAAGUGAGAUGUGAAAUACCCGGGCUUAACUUGGGUGCUGCAUUUCAAACUGGAUAUCUAGAGUGCAGGAGAGGAGAAUGGAAUUCCUAGUGUAGCGGUGAAAUGCGUAGAGAUUAGGAAGAACACCAGUGGCGAAGGCGAUUCUCUGGACUGUAACUGACGCUGAGGCACGAAAGCGUGGGCAGCAAACAGGAUUAGAUACCCUGGUAG